This 1403-nucleotide ribosomal RNA is filed under the name metagenome. Its description in RNAcentral is "SSU rRNA". It matches the Rfam family "Eukaryotic small subunit ribosomal RNA", at positions 372 to 1801 of the family's 1831-position model. The record is from RNAcentral.
AGGGUUUGACUCCGGAGAGGCAGCCUGAGAGACGGCUACCAGUUCUAAGGAACGCAGCAGGCGCGCAAAUUACACAGUGACAGUAAACUGUUGAUGUAGUGACAAGAGGUAACGGGGCGGUCCUCUAUGAGGCCCGUCAUUGUAUUGAGUAAAACUCAAAAUAUUUAACGAAACCAAUUGGAGGGCAAGUCUGGUGCCAGCAGCCGCGGUAAUUCCAGCUCCAAAAGCAUAUAUUAAAGUUGUUGCGGUUAAAAAGCUCGUAGUUGGAUCCAUGACCUCGGAGGGCGGUCCCCCACUGGGUGCGUACUGCUGCUCCGAGUCCUAUCUGUCAGUUUGUCUGUGUUGCCUUUAAUCGGGUGGCACAGGUGACUGACGUGUUUACUUUGAAAAAAUUAGAGUGUUUAAAGCAGGCGUUGAAUGCCUGAAUAGUGGUGCAUGGAAUAAUGGAAUAGGAUCUCGGUUCUAUUUUGUUGGUUCAAGAGCAUGAGAAAAUGAUUAAGAGGGACAGACGGGGGCAUUUGUAUUGCUGCGUUAGAGGUGAAAUUCUUGGAUCGUAGCAAGACAAACUACUGCGAAGGCAUUUGCCAAGAAUGUUUUCAUUAAUCAAGAACGAAAGUUAGAGGUUCGAAGGCGAUCAGAUACCGCCCUAGUUCUAACCGUAAACCAUGUCGACUAGCUAUCUGUCAGCGUUAAUAAUGACCUGACAGGCAGCUUACCGGAAACGAAAGUUUCUCGAUUCCGGGGGUAGUAUGGUUGCAAAGCUGAAACUUAAAGGAAUUGACGGAAGGGCACCACCAGGAGUGGAGCCUGCGGCUUAAUUUGACCCAACACGGGAAAACUCACCCGGCCCGGACACCGUAAGGAUUGACAGAUUAAUAGCUCUUUCUCGAUUUGGUGAUUGGUGGUGCAUGGCCGUUCUUAGUUGGUGGAGCGAUUUGUCUGGUUAAUUCCGAUAACGAACGAGAUUCUAACUUACUAACUAGUUCCACGAUCCUUGUGGUCCUAAAUACUUCUUAGAGGGAAAACCGGCAUUUAGUCGAACGAGAUUGAGCGAUAACAGGUCUGUGAUGCCCUUAGAUGUCCGGGGCUGCACGCGUGCUACACUGAAGGAAUCAGCGUGUUUUUCCCUUGCCUGUAAUGGCUGGGUAACCGACUGAAUCUCCUUCGUGCUAGGGAUAGAUCAUUGAAACUAGUGAUCUUCAACUUGGAAUUCCUGGUACGUUUGAGUCAUAAGCUCAAGCAGAUUACGUCCCUGCCCUUUGUACACACCGCCCGUCGCUACUACCGACUGGCAAUAUCUUUGAGACACUUGGAGCGGCCGUGAGCUACCCUAACCGGUAACUCACGGCUGCGAAAAGGUUCGAAAAGGUUUUGCUGGAGGAAGUAAAAGUCGUAACAAGGUU